RNAcentral lists this ribosomal RNA (468 nucleotides) under uncultured microorganism. Its description in RNAcentral is "bacterial SSU rRNA". It matches the Rfam family "Bacterial small subunit ribosomal RNA", at positions 9 to 524 of the family's 1533-position model. The record is from RNAcentral.
GAGUUGAUCUUGGCUCAGAGCGAACGCUGGCGGCAGGCCUAACACAUGCAAGUCGAACGGACCCUUCGGGGUUAGUGGCGGACGGGUGAGUAACACGUGGGAACGUGCCUUUAGGUUCGGAAUAGCUCCUGGAAACGGGUGGUAAUGCCGAAUGUGCCCUUCGGGGAAAGGACUUAUCGCCUUUAGAGCGGCCCGCGUCUGAUUAGCUAGUUGGUGAGGUAACGGCUCACCAAGGCGACGAUCAGUAGCUGGUCUGAGAGGAUGACCAGCCACACUGGGACUGAGACACGGCCCAGACUCCUACGGGAGGCAGCAGUGGGGAAUCUUGCGCAAUGGGCGAAAGCCUGACGCAGCCAUGCCGCGUGAAUGAUGAAGGUCUUAGGAUUGUAAAAUUCUUUCACCGGGGACGAUAAUGACGGUACCCGGAGAAGAAGCCCCGGCUAACUUCGUGCCAGCCGCCGCCGUAAG